RNAcentral lists this long non-coding RNA (393 nucleotides) under Setaria viridis. RNAcentral's name for it is "long non-coding RNA (SVIR_LNC001000)". The record is from RNAcentral. Lineage: Eukaryota; Viridiplantae; Streptophyta; Magnoliopsida; Poales; Poaceae.
UCGAGAUGAAACCUGAGACAAGGAUGCAAUACCCCAAGGGCAAAUAGAUCCAUGAAACUAAUCCUAAAAAGCUCAAGAAUUCAUCACUAAUUUUGGAGAAAACCGAAACCCUAACUCAAGAAUACGAUUUGGGAAAAACUCAAAAUCAAGCCGGAUUCGUGAGGGAUUUGAAAAGGGGAUCAUAUCAAAGAUGCUCUCCAAGGUUCUAGCAACAUUUCCCUUCAACCAAUCUCACGAGAUUCGGGCUCAAACAUGAUGAACGAAAAUUCCCCAAAAAUAGUUCCGAAAAUAGGGAAAAAGAAAAACGCUCGGGAAUCAAAGAUUUAGCACGAUUUGAGACAACAAAUAAAGCUAAAUCACGAGAACAUCUUCUAUACAAGAUGAAGACUAGCC